AUGACUACUGUCCGAGUUCUUCUUGCAGUUGCCCUGGUCAUCUCCCUGCUCGCCCUUGGCCAUCCCCUUGCUCAUGCCCGCCAUGUGAAGGACCUGUCGUCCAUGCCAACCGGUGAUUCCUCGUCUGAAAAGAAAGGAUUACAGCAAGGGAGUAACAUGAAGCUCGAUGCCGGGAAGACGAAGAAAGUUGAAAACGUCGGAGUGGAGGAGACACCUAAGGGAUCUGCUGAACCAAGCUUCGGCAACCGGGGGAGCCUUGGUGCUGAGUCUGAUAAGGUGGCCGUGUUUGCUCGCCGUGGAGAACCACCCAAGCCUCACCCGAAAAAACACAACUAA
RNAcentral lists this ribosomal RNA (336 nucleotides) under Triticum aestivum (bread wheat). Its description in RNAcentral is "partial small subunit ribosomal RNA". The record is from RNAcentral. Lineage: Eukaryota; Viridiplantae; Streptophyta; Magnoliopsida; Poales; Poaceae.